RNAcentral lists this ribosomal RNA (915 nucleotides) under Streptomyces sp. DP_00015. RNAcentral's name for it is "bacterial SSU rRNA". It matches the Rfam family "Bacterial small subunit ribosomal RNA". Lineage: Bacteria; Bacillati; Actinomycetota; Actinomycetes; Kitasatosporales; Streptomycetaceae. The record is from RNAcentral.
CUUCUUUCCCUCCCCUUUUCCCCCCGUUUUAUUAGGGGUUUGGAUCAGGCUCAGGACGAACGCUGGCGGCGUGCUUAACACAUGCAAGUCGAACGAUGAAGCCCUUCGGGGUGGAUUAGUGGCGAACGGGUGAGUAACACGUGGGCAAUCUGCCCUUCACUCUGGGACAAGCCCUGGAAACGGGGUCUAAUACCGGAUACCACUCCUGCCUGCAUGGGCGGGGGUUGAAAGCUCCGGCGGUGAAGGAUGAGCCCGCGGCCUAUCAGCUUGUUGGUGGGGUAAUGGCCCACCAAGGCGACGACGGGUAGCCGGCCUGAGAGGGCGACCGGCCACACUGGGACUGAGACACGGCCCAGACUCCUACGGGAGGCAGCAGUGGGGAAUAUUGCACAAUGGGCGAAAGCCUGAUGCAGCGACGCCGCGUGAGGGAUGACGGCCUUCGGGUUGUAAACCUCUUUCAGCAGGGAAGAAGCGAAAGUGACGGUACCUGCAGAAGAAGCGCCGGCUAACUACGUGCCAGCAGCCGCGGUAAUACGUAGGGCGCAAGCGUUGUCCGGAAUUAUUGGGCGUAAAGAGCUCGUAGGCGGCUUGUCACGUCGGAUGUGAAAGCCCGAGGCUUAACCUCGGGUCUGCAUUCGAUACGGGCUAGCUAGAGUGUGGUAGGGGAGAUCGGAAUUCCUGGUGUAGCGGUGAAAUGCGCAGAUAUCAGGAGGAACACCGGUGGCGAAGGCGGAUCUCUGGGCCAUUACUGACGCUGAGGAGCGAAAGCGUGGGGAGCGAACAGGAUUAGAUACCCUGGUAGUCCACGCCGUAAACGUUGGGAACUAGGUGUUGGCGACAUUCCACGUCGUCGGUGCCGCAGCUAACGCAUUAAGUCCCCGCCUGGAUCGCACGAUUCCUUGAACCUAUUAAGGG